UACAGAGGGGGCAAGCGUUAUUCGGAAUUACUGGGCGUAAAGCGUGCGUAGGUGGUUUGUUAAGUCUGUUGUGAAAGCCCCGGGCUCAACCUGGGAAUGGCAAUGGAUACUGGCAGGCUAGAGUGCGGUAGAGGGUAGUGGAAUUCCCGGUGUAGCGGUGAAAUGCGUAGAGAUCGGGAGGAACACCAGUGGCGAAGGCGGCUACCUGGACCAGCACUGACACUGAGGCACGAAAGCGUGGGGAGCAAACAGG
RNAcentral lists this ribosomal RNA (253 nucleotides) under uncultured bacterium. RNAcentral's name for it is "partial 16S ribosomal RNA". It matches the Rfam family "Bacterial small subunit ribosomal RNA", at positions 524 to 776 of the family's 1533-position model. The record is from RNAcentral.